UACAGAGGUCUCAAGCGUCGUUCGGAUUCAUUGGGCGUAAAGGGUGCGUAGGUGGUGCUGUAAGUCAGGUGUGAAAUCCCGGGGCUCAACCCCGGAACUGCACUUGAUACUGUAGUGCUUGAGGACUGGAGAGGAGAUCGGAAUUCAUGGUGUAGCAGUGAAAUGCGUAGAUAUCAUGAGGAAGACCAGUGGCGAAGGCGGAUCUCUGGACAGUUCCUGACACUGAGGCACGAAGGCCAGGGGAGCAAACGGG
This 253-nucleotide ribosomal RNA is filed under the name uncultured bacterium. Its description in RNAcentral is "partial 16S ribosomal RNA". It matches the Rfam family "Bacterial small subunit ribosomal RNA", at positions 524 to 776 of the family's 1533-position model. The record is from RNAcentral.